RNAcentral lists this long non-coding RNA (221 nucleotides) under Homo sapiens (human). RNAcentral's name for it is "HSALNT0223057". Lineage: Eukaryota; Metazoa; Chordata; Mammalia; Primates; Hominidae. The record is from RNAcentral.
AGACCACACCUCUACCCUGACUCAGCACACACAGCUGUACCGUCAGGGGCUGCAAACCAACAUCUCUCAGGGCCUUCCUGGAAGCUGCGGCUGGACUCCCCUUGUACUCCAGGGGAGCAUCCCUGGAGGCCCAGGUCGGGGCUCCUGGAGGGUCCCUGGGUUCUGGGGGACAGAAGAACAGGGAGGAAGAAUCCAGAUGUGGCUCACUGGGCUCUGUGGAU